RNAcentral lists this small RNA (28 nucleotides) under Bombyx mori (domestic silkworm). RNAcentral's name for it is "ovarian small RNA-13252". The record is from RNAcentral. Lineage: Eukaryota; Metazoa; Arthropoda; Insecta; Lepidoptera; Bombycidae.
CAGCUACAAGGGGGGGAGUGCCUAUGCC